AAGGAGCUUGCUCCCGGAUGUUAGCGGCGGACGGGUGAGUAACACGUGGGUAACCUGCCUGUAAGACUGGGAUAACUCCGGGAAACCGGAGCUAAUACCGGAUAGUUCCUUGAACCGCAUGGUUCAAGGAUGAAAGACGGUUUCGGCUGUCACUUACAGAUGGACCCGCGGCGCAUUAGCUAGUUGGUGGGGUAAUGGCUCACCAAGGCGACGAUGCAUACCCGACCUGAGAGGGUGAUCGGCCACACUGGGACUGACACACGGCCCACACUCCUACGGGAGGCAGCAGUAGGGAAUCUUCCGCAAUGGACGAAAGUCUGACGGAGCAACCCCCCGUGAGUGAUGAAGGUUUUCGGAUCGAAAAGCUCUGUUGUUAGGGAAGAACAAGUGCGAGAGUAACUGCUCGCACCUUGACGGUACCUAACCAAAAAGCCACGGCUAACUACGUGCCAGCAGCCGCGGUAAUACGUAGGUGGCAAGCGUUGUCCGGAAUUAUUGGGCGU
This 503-nucleotide ribosomal RNA is filed under the name Bacillus pumilus. RNAcentral describes it as "bacterial SSU rRNA". It matches the Rfam family "Bacterial small subunit ribosomal RNA", at positions 73 to 561 of the family's 1533-position model. Lineage: Bacteria; Bacillati; Bacillota; Bacilli; Caryophanales; Bacillaceae. The record is from RNAcentral.